UACGGAGGGUGCAAGCGUUAUCCGGAUUCACUGGGUUUAAAGGGUGCGUAGGUGGGCAAGUAAGUCAGUGGUGAAAUUUCCGGGCUUAACCCGGAAACUGCCAUUGAUACUAUUUGUCUUGAAUACUGUGGAGGUCAGCGGAAUAUGUCAUGUAGCGGUGAAAUGCUUAGAUAUGACAUAGAACACCAAUUGCGAAGGCAGCUGGCUACACAAAUAUUGACACUGAGGCACGAAAGCGUGGGGAGCAAACAGG
Molecule: ribosomal RNA, 253 nt
Filed under: uncultured bacterium
Lineage: Bacteria
Description: partial 16S ribosomal RNA
Rfam family: Bacterial small subunit ribosomal RNA
Source: RNAcentral